This 435-nucleotide ribosomal RNA is filed under the name uncultured bacterium. RNAcentral's name for it is "partial 16S ribosomal RNA". It matches the Rfam family "Bacterial small subunit ribosomal RNA", at positions 28 to 507 of the family's 1533-position model. The record is from RNAcentral.
GAUGAACGCUGGCGGUAUGCUUAACACAUGCAAGUCGAACGGACUCUUCGGAGUUAGUGGCGGACGGGUGAGUAACGCGUGAGAAUCUGGCUUUGGGUUCGGGACAACCACUGGAAACGGUGGCUAAUACCGGAUGUGCCGAGAGGUAAAAGAGAAAUUGCCUGAAGAUGAGCUCGCGUCUGAUUAGCUAGUUGGUGAGGUAAAGGCUCACCAAGGCAGCGAUCAGUAGCUGGUCUGAGAGGAUGACCAGCCACACUGGGACUGAGACACGGCCCAGACUACUACGGGAGGCAGCAGGGGGGAAUUUUCCGCAAUGGGCGAAAGGCUGACGGAGCAAUACCGCGUGAGGGAAGAAGGCUCUUGGGUUGUAAACCUCUUUUCUUAGGGAAGAACAAAAUGACGGUACCUAAGGAAUCAGCAUCGGCUAACUCCGUG